RNAcentral lists this long non-coding RNA (229 nucleotides) under Vigna radiata. RNAcentral's name for it is "long non-coding RNA (VRAD_LNC004508)". Lineage: Eukaryota; Viridiplantae; Streptophyta; Magnoliopsida; Fabales; Fabaceae. The record is from RNAcentral.
GGACGGUAAGGUACGGAUAGUCUGAAGGGUCAAGGUGAAGCCAAGGUAAUUAGAAUAAUCGCAUGAUUAAGGUGAUUGGGCUGUGAUUGGGCCUUGAUUAAGAUUGCCUUAAUACUAGGCCCAUAUCCAGCACUAUAAAUACAUGUCAGGGAUUUAUUGCGCAUUUACUUCUGAGCUCAGAUACCCGAUCGAAUAACCUAACUAACUUAAGCAUCGGAGUACCUUUGAC